RNAcentral lists this ribosomal RNA (497 nucleotides) under uncultured bacterium. RNAcentral describes it as "partial 16S ribosomal RNA". It matches the Rfam family "Bacterial small subunit ribosomal RNA", at positions 28 to 507 of the family's 1533-position model. The record is from RNAcentral.
GAUGAACGCUGGCGGCGUGCCUAAUACAUGCAAGUCGAGCGAACAGACGAGGAGCUUGCUCCUCUGACGUUAGCGGCGGACGGGUGAGUAACACGUGGAUAACCUACCUAUAAGACUGGGAUAACUUCGGGAAACAGGAGCUAAUACCGGAUAAUAUAUUGAACCGCAUGGUUCAAUAGUGAAAGACGGUUUUGCUGUCACUUAUAGCUGGAUCCGCGCCGCAUUAGCUAGUUGGUAAGGUAACGGCUUACCAAGGCUACGAUGCGUAGCCGACCUGAGAGGGUGAUCGGCCACACUGGAACUGAGACACGGUCCAGACUCCUACGGGAGGCAGCAGUAGGGAAUCUUCCGCAAAGGGCGAAAGCCUGACGGAGCAACGCCGCGUGAGUGAUGAAGGUCUUCGGAUCGUAAAACUCUGUUAUUAGGGAAGAACAAAUGUGUAAGUAACUAUGCACGUCUUGACGGUACCUAAUCAGAAAGCCACGGCUAACUACGUG